Molecule: transfer-messenger RNA, 362 nt
Filed under: Escherichia coli
Lineage: Bacteria; Pseudomonadati; Pseudomonadota; Gammaproteobacteria; Enterobacterales; Enterobacteriaceae
Description: Standard tmRNA
Rfam family: transfer-messenger RNA
About the family: Bacterial tmRNA, also known as 10Sa RNA or SsrA, is named for its dual tRNA and mRNA-like properties.
Source: RNAcentral
GGGGCUGAUUCUGGAUUCGACGGGAUUUGCGAAACCCAAGGUGCAUGCCGAGGGCGGUUGGCCUCGUAAAAAGCCGCAAAAAAUAGUCGCAAACGACGAAAACUACGCUUUAGCAGCUUAAUAACCUGCUUAGAGCCCUCUCUCCCUAGCCUCCGCUCUUAGGACGGGGAUCAAGAGAGGUCAAACCCAAAAGAGAUCGCGUGGAAGCCCUGCCUGGGGUUGAAGCGUUAAAACUUAAUCAGGCUAGUUUGUUAGUGGCGUGUCCGUCCGCAGCUGGCAAGCGAAUGUAAAGACUGACUAAGCAUGUAGUACCGAGGAUGUAGGAAUUUCGGACGCGGGUUCAACUCCCGCCAGCUCCACCA